UACGUAGGGGGCGAGCGUUGUCCGGAAUCAUUGGGCGUAAAGCGCGUGUAGGCGGCUUGGUAAGUCAGACGUGAAAUCCCUCAGCUUAACUGGGGAACUGCGUCUGAUACUGGCGGGCUUGAGGACAGGAGAGGAACGCGGAAUUCCAGGUGUAGCGGUGAAAUGCGUAGAUAUCUGGAGGAACACCGGUGGCGAAGGCGGGUUGCUGGGCCGACACUGACGCUGAUGCGCGAAAGCCAGGGGAGCGAACGGG
Molecule: ribosomal RNA, 253 nt
Filed under: uncultured bacterium
Lineage: Bacteria
Description: partial 16S ribosomal RNA
Rfam family: Bacterial small subunit ribosomal RNA
Source: RNAcentral